UACAGAGGGUGCGAGCGUUGUCCGGAAUCACUGGGCGUAAAGGGCGCGUAGGUGGUGGCUUAAGCGUGCGGUGAAAGCUCGGGGCUCAACUCCGAGUCGGCCGUGCGAACUGGGCUCACUGGAGCAUAGUAGAGGCAGGUGGAAUUCCGGGUGUAGCGGUGGAAUGCGUAGAGAUCCGGAAGAACACCGGUGGCGAAGGCGGCCUGCUGGGCUAUGGCUGACGCUGAGGCGCGACAGCGUGGGGAGCAAACAGG
RNAcentral lists this ribosomal RNA (254 nucleotides) under uncultured bacterium. Its description in RNAcentral is "partial 16S ribosomal RNA". It matches the Rfam family "Bacterial small subunit ribosomal RNA", at positions 524 to 776 of the family's 1533-position model. The record is from RNAcentral.